GAUGAACGCUGGCGGGGGGCCUAAUACAUGCAAGUCGAAUGCUCUACUUGUAGAGCAUGGCGGACGGCUGAGUAACACGUUGGUACCUACCUCAUAGUCAGGGAUAACCCAGAGAAAUCUGGAAUAAUACCGGAUAGUCCCGAAAGGGUAAAGAUUUAUCGCUAUGAGAGGGGCCUGCGGCGUAUCAGAUAGUUGGUAAGGUAACGGCUUACCAAGUCUAUGACGCGUAUCGGGUGUGAGAGCAUGACCCGACAGAGUGGGACUGAGACACGGCCCACACUCCUACGGGAGGCAGCAGUAAGGAAUCUUCCACAAUGGGCGAAAGCCUGAUGGAGCCACCCCGCGUGCCUGAUGACACCCUUCGGGGCGUAAAAGGCUUUUCUGAGAGACGAAGUUCUGACGGUAUCUCAGGAAUAAGUGACGGCUAACUCCG
RNAcentral lists this ribosomal RNA (433 nucleotides) under uncultured bacterium. RNAcentral describes it as "bacterial SSU rRNA". It matches the Rfam family "Bacterial small subunit ribosomal RNA", at positions 28 to 505 of the family's 1533-position model. The record is from RNAcentral.